UACAGGAAUAUGGGGAAGUAGCUGAAGUGUUAAAGAGGCAGUAACAUUUGCUCUUUAAGGACUGGGAGUUUGCCUGGUGGAAUAAAGGAGACAGAAAUUCAAGGAAAACAGAAGGGUUUAUGCAAAGAAAAGGCAAUACAAAAGAACUUGGCUAUGUUCAAGACAUGGAAGUGUCUGUGGUUGAAGCACGGGUCUAUUUCUCCAGACUACUGAAGAAAUAUAAGGUCAACCAGGCUGAAGGAAUACAACUGAGAAAGAAAUGAAGAAAGAAAAUACUCCGUCUCAUCAAACCCAGUAUGAAGACGUUGCAUAUAGUUUUAUAAAUGCCCCAAACAAAAUUAAGUGGAAGGCAUAGGAAAAGGAAAAUAACCAAAGGCAGGUAGAGGAAAAGA
This is a long non-coding RNA of Canis lupus familiaris (dog), 392 nucleotides long. RefSeq lists it as uncharacterized. NCBI's taxonomy places the organism in Eukaryota, Metazoa, Chordata, Mammalia, Carnivora, Canidae. The record is from RefSeq and is a predicted model, not a curated record. The transcript is spliced from 3 exons.